GAAGUUCGUUCUCCAUCUCCUUCGACUUUUUUGUUAAAUGACGAACUCUCUUCCUCAGAUGUUGGAUCGUGGACUUCAGUGGAACUCCCUGUGGCAAGGGAAGCACUUCGACAGGAUGCUGCCAUCGGGGGACAAAAGCAUCAAGGCGCGACUCAUUGCAGAAAGAAAAAAGAAAAGAGUAGAGAAACCCCCCAUAAGGAGAAACCCAAUUUUAU
RNAcentral lists this long non-coding RNA (215 nucleotides) under Elaeis guineensis (African oil palm). RNAcentral describes it as "long non-coding RNA (EGUI_LNC071055)". Lineage: Eukaryota; Viridiplantae; Streptophyta; Magnoliopsida; Arecales; Arecaceae. The record is from RNAcentral.